This 253-nucleotide ribosomal RNA is filed under the name uncultured bacterium. RNAcentral's name for it is "partial 16S ribosomal RNA". It matches the Rfam family "Bacterial small subunit ribosomal RNA", at positions 524 to 776 of the family's 1533-position model. The record is from RNAcentral.
UACGAAGGGGGCUAGCGUUGCUCGGAAUCACUGGGCGUAAAGGGUGCGUAGGCGGGUCUUUAAGUCAGGGGUGAAAUCCUGGAGCUCAACUCCAGAACUGCCUUUGAUACUGAGGAUCUUGAGUUCGGGUGAGGUGAGUGGAACUGCGAGUGUAGAGGUGAAAUUCGUAGAUAUUCGCAAGAACACCAGUGGCGAAGGCGGCUCACUGGCCCGAUACUGACGCUGAGGCACGAAAGCGUGGGGAGCAAACAGG